RNAcentral lists this long non-coding RNA (203 nucleotides) under Elaeis guineensis (African oil palm). RNAcentral describes it as "long non-coding RNA (EGUI_LNC050833)". The record is from RNAcentral. Lineage: Eukaryota; Viridiplantae; Streptophyta; Magnoliopsida; Arecales; Arecaceae.
AAUUUCUUAAUUACAUAUAUUUUAUAUUUAUUUUUAUCAUUUUGUAUGUAUAGAUUCUUGUAUAAGUUGAAAUAAUAUGUGUGAAAUAAGGUAUGUCCAGAAGGAUCAAUUGUGGAAGCAUAUAUUUUCACAGAGUAUCUUACAUUCUAUUCGAUGUAUCUCGAUGAUGUAGAAACACGAUUCAAUCAUGAAGACCGCAAUGC